CGUAGGUACCGAGCGUUAUCCGGAUUUACUGGGCGUAAAGCGUGUUCAGGCGGUCUAGCAAGUCGGGCAUGAAAUCUCUCGGCUCAACCGGGAGGGGUUGUCCGAUACUGCUGGGCUUGAGGGCAGCAGAGGGUGGUGGAAUUCCGGGUGUAGUGGUGAAAUGCGUAGAUAUCCGGAGGAACACCAGUGGCGAAGGCGGCCACCUGGGCUGUACCUGACGCUCAAACACGAAAGCUAGGGGAGCGAACGGGAUUAGAAACCCCGGUAGUCCUAGCCGUAAACGAUGUUGACUAGGUGUCGACGGUCUAAACCCCGCCGGUGCCGGAGCUAACGCACGAAGUCAACCGCCUGGGGACUACGGCCGCAAGGUUA
Molecule: ribosomal RNA, 372 nt
Filed under: uncultured organism
Description: bacterial SSU rRNA
Rfam family: Bacterial small subunit ribosomal RNA
Source: RNAcentral